GGGGUUGUGGCUCAGUGGUACAGUGCUCACCUAGCACAUGUGAGGCACUGAGUUCAAACCUCAGCACCACA
Molecule: transfer RNA, 71 nt
Filed under: Marmota monax (woodchuck)
Lineage: Eukaryota; Metazoa; Chordata; Mammalia; Rodentia; Sciuridae
Description: tRNA.Ala
Source: RNAcentral